GAGUUUGUAAGUGGUCAGCCUGGGGACAGUGAGACUGAGAUGUGCGUUCAUGAGACUUCUCCAUUUUUUUUUUCUUUCUCUCUUUGAAUGAAUACAACGUUGCCCGGUUGGAAUAUUAUCGCUAUUUUACGAGAAAAAUAGCAUAAAAAUUGAUUUUAAACAGCGUUUGACAUGCUUCUAAGUACGGUAAUGGAAUAUUUUGAUUUUUUUUUCACGAAAUGUGCUCGCGCGUUACCCUUCGGAUAGUGACCUGAACGCACGAACAAAACGGAGGUAUUUGGAUAUAACUAUGGAUUAUUUGGAACCAAGUAGAAGUGAAGUAGAAGUCCUGGGAGUGCAUUCUGACAAAGAACAGCAAAGGAGGUGGCAUGAUGUCGUCAGACAGGGAUAAAAGGGCUGUGUUUGGUAAAGGGAUCGCGUUCGACCCCUGCCAGCUUCGAGACCCUUGGGAGAACAGACCUCAGAAGAUCAGUGAGAAGGGACGACAGGAGAAGGAGGGGCAGGAAAAUAGAGACCUGAAUCGGUGUGACUGCGGAGCAUGCGUCUCCUCCUGUUAUCUUAAAAUGGCUGCAUUUCCUGCCAACCAGGAAGAGGAAAAAAGAGCCGCUGCUACCUCCAAGUCCUUAGACUAGCUCUAGCCUAUGGACUGAACUCCCAAUCACAGUUGAAAAUAAUUAUAUCUAGUCUCUGUGUUUAUUGUGACAUUCUGAGUACAUCUUGUCGGCUCAGUGUCUGUGGGGACUUGGAGACAGUCAGCAAAGGUAAUUCUUGUUUUUUUGUGUGUUUGUGGGCUUGGCUAUACCAUGCAUGUAGCACUUUAAAGUCUUUCAGACAUUUUUGAGAGAGAUGAAUGCAUUUUUUGUUACACUUAAUACAGUUUGCUGUGUGUGCACUAUAGAUGGGUUAGCUGAUAACGUCAUAAACGAUUCACACAUUUCAAUGGUGAGUUGUGAUUCUGGAUGGCCAGAUAGCUUCCAACAAUGACAAACUGCCUGUGGGGAAUCGUAAGUGACUAGUUUCAUGUUCUUUAUGUGUCUUGUUGAGGUGUUUUGACUGGUUUCAUGUCAAUGCUAAUAUGGCAAAUUUGCUAGCUAGCAAACCAACAGUAGCAAUGUAUUUGAGACAAGUGCUCAUUGUGUAAAUGUAUGUUUUCAAUAAACAUUUGACAAAUCAAUUAUAUUUAUUCAAUCUAAGCCAACUGUUUGUUUUGCCCCAUAGCUCUGCAUGUGCUGGUUGCUCAACAACCAACCUGUCUAUAGUUGCUGUGCUUUAAGAUACUUUUACUAGCCUUAAUUGAAUAUUGCAUUUAAACACUGAAGUCUUACAUGAAUGCCUUGUUGUAUUAGACACACAACUGUAACCUUGAAAUAUUGCUUGUAAUAACAUUAAAGAGGCGCUAACUUGCCGAUUCCGCUUGGGAUUUUUCGUUACUCAUUAAGAACAUUUAGAUUUAUGUCUUGGAGUUGUAGUUCAAUGUGGGUGUGUUUUGUUUGUCCCUCUUAAGUCACCGCCCCAAACAGGCCACCAUACCGACUGGCUUAUGAACCGUGAGAUGCAGCAUGCCAACAUGAUCGGUCAGGGAAGCCUCAAGCAUACUGCAUUUCCUGCAUUCUAGAUGUAGCUCUCUUUAAUGAAAAUUGUUUGUGAUGCUAACGUUAGCUCACGAAUGUGAGGAUGUUUGAAAGCCCAUGCCGUUUAAAACCCCCCCCCCAAAAAAACAUGAAUAUUCUUUCAAAAUAACAUUUGUGACAAUAUCUUAAACGGUAUAUAUUGUCUAAACAAGUCCAAGGUGUUGUGUGCUAAUGGUUAGUUUGGCUGCCUGUAAAUAAAUGGGUGGGUUGUAAGUUUAUUCUGGUGAGUGAUUGGAUAGCGUGAACUGGGCAGCUGUUAUCCGGAGGAUUUGAUUACUGCCAGUCGUGAUUAGACUGCCAUGCAGUGAGCCAAUGGGGGCAGGAUUUAAAUCACAACCCAACUCAUGUUAAGUUUUGACAUCCUCAGUUACACAAAUCUUACAAAACUGUUUUGGAAUAUAUUGACAUUAUGACCAAUUAUCCUACUUACAGAUUUUGGUACUGGAAUAAAUGUUUGACUGAAAUCGAUGGCACAGGUCAUUUUCAACCAGAGAAGUGGGUUCUUGUGCUCAGUUGCACUUUAAAUAUUAGUUAAUUCAAUUAAAAAUCAUUUUGUGCUACUGUGUAGUGCGCUUUCCAUGAUUUCAGUACUGUCAAGUGUUUUAUUUUUUCACUGCUCCAUUCUUACAUUUUUUUUGCUUGAGGACCUUCCCUCUAUGCUACCUUUUUAUUUAAAAAAAAAAAAUCAAGUAUUAAAUGGUGUCGUCAGCAGGAGCAGCUAUAUGUAUAAUUUAAAUCCCCCAUGUUACAUAAUCAUACAUUCUAUUUGGAAUUCUCAUUUGUUCCAUGUAAUUUGAAUAUUCUUUUGUUCAUAACUGUCACGUGUGUGUAUAGACGGACCAAGGCGCAGUGUGAGUAGCGUUCCACAUCUUUAAUAUAAAGUGAAACUAUGCAACAUAAUAAACGAAACGUGACGACAAUGAAACUACACAAACACAAUAUCCCAUAACCCACAGGUGGAAAACAUGCUACUUAAGUAUGAUCCCCAAUUAGAGACAACAAUUACCAGCUGCCUCUAAUUGGAAUCAUACAAAUCACCCAAACAGAAAAACUAAACUAGAACCCCACAUAGAAAAUAUAAACUAGAUUAACCCCCCAGUCACGCCCUGACCUACUCUACCAUAGAAAAUAAAAGCUUUCUAUGGUCAGGACGUGACAAUAACGUUUGGAAAAAAACAUAUGGAAGAGACUUUAGACAAGACAACUUAUGCAUGUAUUAAUGUAAAUUGAAAAAUGUAUGCUUUUCCUUGUUUGAAAAAUAUGGCAAAUUUGGCCUCGAAGUUCUGUCGAGGUUGUUCAUGUUCACUGGGAUAUGAAUUCCAAGAAUGUCUACUGGGCCACUUGUCCCAUGAAUGGCACACCACAUGGACUCAAAGUUGGAGUGUUUUAGGGAACCCAGGAUAAGUAGUGAGCACUUGUCAUAGUGAUGGCAUGACAAAACCAUCCAAUCCUGUAAAAAUAGAUCAGAGUCACCGUGGUUUAAAUAGAGCACAGAGCCAUCCAGACCUGACACAGAGACAUAUAAACCAUUUUUAUCCAAGUGACAAGAGACAUUGAUUUUACAAUUUAUAACAUAUAGUGGAUUACAGAAUGAAUGAGUUUACUCUACAAAUAUCAGUAUCAUAGUUAUUUAAGGCCCCUGAACUCAAUGCUUUUGCAAAUUGAAAUACAAUACCGGUUUGUAGCAUGGGAAGAGCUAAGCAUAUUAGGGAAAAUAAAAUAAUGGAGGUGAGGAAAAGUCAGAUUGAGGUUAUUUAAACAAAUACAUUCAAUUUCAAUUCUCCUGAAUUUUGAAAUAUCCUUUUUCUUCAGAAUCAUAGGUUACAUAGAACUCAUGGCAUGGCCAUAUGAUAUUUAACUUUUCUCAUAUUUCAGUGGAACUGUUUGUCUUUGUAAUGAAUCUACAGUAUAAACCACAACCUGGGAUUGGAUUCAUCCCACGAUUGAAGCUUCUUCAGUUUCUCAGCCAAUUAUAGCACAGGGGGUGAGUCAGUUUGGCAAGUCACACAGACAAGAAACAGUGCGCUGUACACACAGUAAAGGAGCAAGGGAGGAAGAUUCUAUAUAUUUAUCGUUCUUUAUCCAGACCAGUGACAUUGGGAAAGGAAUCUAUUUUUUUCACGGGAGCCCUGGCCAAGAAGUAAGAGCUAGCUAAUCUUUGUUACGGAUAGUUAGUGAAAUUCAAAACCAGUUAUUUUCUGUUAUUCCAACUAGCUAGCUUGUAUUAGCCUUAGUGGCUGUUUAUGGUGUCCAUGGAACAGCUGUUGCUCUCCCAAAAAUAGCUGCAUCUUUUAUGGGCACUUACACUGCACUUUGACUGUAUAAACGUAUUUGAUGAAUUUGGAGCUUUAAAAUGGUAAUUUUUAUUUCUGUAUUAUUGUGUUUGCACCGGGUGACAUGCCUUUAUUUUGUGGGAAAUAAAAACUCUUGAACCUGAACUCUUAUACUCUUGAACUUAUACGAGCCUUAAUAUUUAUCUCAUUCAUUCAUACCAUUGUCUCUGGGCUACACUAAAAUGGUGUUAUACACGCUAUGUGUUUUCCUGUCAGGAGGUGGCAUGAUGUCGUCAGACAGGGAUAAAGGGACAGUGUACGACAGCUUCCAGCUCAUGAACCAAUGGGAGAACAGAGCUAAGCAGUUCAGUCAGAAGGGACAACUGGAAAAGGAGAGACAAGGAAAGAGUGCCUUGAAUGGGCUUUACAAAAAGUGGCAGUCUUGCUUGGCGAACAAAAAUGGAACCCCUACGGCAGCGGAGAAGAAAGGAAAGGGCAGCGACAUAUCUGACUUCAGAAAGGUUGCGGUGAUCCCAGACAUUGAUGCUGACAUCAAAGGAGCCAUGUUUAAGGUGGUACCACCACCAAAGAUUCCCAAACCUGCUCCAUCCCCACCACCACCACCCAAAAAGAAACCACCCAAGAGGGCAAAGCCCCAAGUUCUCAAACCAGCCGGGGGCUGGGAUGAGUCAUGGAAAAGCCUGAAGCCCCCAGAGCAGGAAGUCCAACCUGAGGAAAAAUGGUGGAGGGAUUUUAAGCCAGAUAGAUACCUACCUCUCAGCGAAUGGGCAAGGCCCUUCAAGUGUCGACCACUGUUAUUCAGUUUCAUCCUUCACCAGCAAACAGAGUGGUGGCAGCGAGGAUGGCCAGUGUUCAGCCGGGAACAAAGCAACAAACUAUUGAAAGCUAAGACUUUGGAUGUCGAAGUAUACCUUCCAGGGUGGGAGGACGCUUGGAAGACAUCCAGAUCUUUAUCCAAGCAAUACAUUGAGAACAAGAUGAUUACAGAAACAGUACAGCCCAAAGCCUUCUUCCCAGGCUGGACAGAAUCUUGGAAGGUCGCAGGUGAAAAUGUCCAAAACAGUGGCCGAUAUCUUAGGGAUUGGCACGAGUCCUGGAGUUUGUGCCAAGAACACCACUGGUGCAAGGCCCCCAUAGACUCCCAGUUGAUGUCAAAACAUGUGUUCUCCGAUGAGUUGUUGAUCUCCCAGCUUGAUGAGGAGAUCCCAUCUUCAUCAGAUUGGAUAGAGUCCUGGAAAUCUGUGAAAUCUCAGCCCCAGUCCCAGUCCCAAGAGUCCCAGUCAGAGCCCAAAGGGACUGAAUUAGAGGUAGAAAUGUCCCAUGUGCCACUGCAUCUCCAGUUCCACAAGCUUAACACACCUUUCUCAAACUGGCACGAGUCUUGGAAAGUGUCAACUGCAAAUAACGAAGCAAUUGAAGAUGGAUGGAAAGGUUCCUGGAAAAUAUAUAGUCAGAAUCAAAAUCAAAAUAACACAAAAGCCCAAAGAGAUGUUGUGUUUUUCUCAAAUAAGUACAAGACCCAAAGGUUGCGGGGUGUCGACAGCAUGCCUCAGAGUGAAUGGUCUAAAUCCUGGAAGACCCCCAUGCCUCCCCAACAUACUUUCUUGCCAGGUUGGAAAGAAUCUUGGAAACAAAACAGCAAUCCAUAUUGGAAGGAUUGGCAUGAGUCCUGGAGUUUAUGCCAAGAACACCACUUUUGCAAGUCCUUUAUGAACUCCCAGUACUGCCAUCAUGCCAUGAUGAUGUCAAAAUGCUUGCUGACUAAUGAGCUGUUGAGCUCCCAGCUUGAUGAGGAGAUCCCAUCUUCAUAUGAGUGGAUAGAGUCCUGGAAAUCUGUGAAACCUUAUCCUCAGUCCCAAUCAGAUUCAGAAGAAACUGAAUCAGAGUUGGAUAUGUCCCAUGUGCCACUGCAUCUUCAGUUCUACAAGCUUAACACACCUUUCUCAAACUGGCAUGAGUCUUGGAAAGUGUCAACUGCGCAAGCUGUAGCAGGUAAAGACGAACAAGAACAUCCUUCAACAGAAUGGACUGAUUCCUGGAAGAUAUCUUGGAUGAAUCUAAAUAAAAAUGACUUAAAACCCCAAAAGGAUGUUGUAUUUUUCUCAAGGCAUAAGACUGAAUGUUUCUUGAGUGUUGACUGUAUGGUCCAGAAUGAAUGGUCUGAAUGCUGGAAGACCAUCAAGCCUACCCAAUACACUGAGACACAGGAGGAGGAGGAGGAAAAAGAUAGCCAUUCUGAUUCCUCAAAAAAUGUGUCACAUCUAAUAGAGAUUCCUUUGAAUGAUUGGGCAGAAUCAUGGAGGUUCAAGCCAGAGGACGAGAGCCCCACCUCACCCAAGACGGCACAGCCCCUAGCCCCAAAACCAGAGGAGGAGAUGCUGAAAGCCAGCACACCAUCACCUCCUCAGCCUUACAAAUACAAUCUUAACCAGGCAAGCUGGGGUGAUUCCUGGAAAAUCCUGAAGCCCCCACAGAAGGAAGUCCCAUCUGAGAAAAAAUGGUGGAGGGCGUUUAAGCAGGACAGAAAUCUACCUUUCAAUGAAUGGGCAAAGCCCUUCAAGUGUCGACCACUGCUAUUCAGUCGCUUACUGCACACACAAACAACAUCCUGGCAGCAGGGAUGGCCAGCGUUCAGCCGGGAACAAAGCAACAAACUACUGAAUGCUAAGCCUUUGGAUAACAAAGUAAACCUUCUGGAGUGGGAGGAUGCUUGGAAGACACUCAAGCGUUUACACAAGCAGCAUGCUGAGAACAAGAUGAUUACAGAAAGAGUACAGCCCGAUGGCUUCUUGCCAGGUUGGAUAGAAUCUUGGAAGGUCGCAGGUAACAAUGUCCAAAACAACAAUCCAUAUCUGAAGGAUUGGCGUGAGUCCUGGAGUUUUUGUCAUGAACAUCACUCAUACAGGGCCUCUAUAGACUCCCAGAAUCGGCAGUAUCUCCCAGUAUCACUAAAACACAAGCUGUCCAAUGAUCUGUUGAUCUCCCAGCUUGAUGAAAACAUUACGUCCUCACCAGAAGGGUGAGGACGUGCUGAAGACAACAUGCUGAAGACAACAUGCCUCAGAAUGAAUGGUCUGAAUGUUGGAAGACACAGCAGCAGCACCAGCAGCAGUUGGAGGACUGGGCAGAGUCUUGGAGGUUAUCUGUCGCCCCAGAAUCCAACAACUCAGUAUCACUAGACCGGUGGAAACAAUCAUGGAGACUCUCAAACCCAAAUCACCCACAUCAGCUUAACCAGGGCACAGAGCCUCUCAUACACAACGGCCCCAAACACCACAUGCAACUCCACGCGGUUGAACUGCCCCAGGCAGAAUGGAGCAACUCCUGGCAGUACCUCAAGUCAGACACUGGAUCCUAAUACGAAGAAGAAAACAGACAUACAGUAGAACAUUAUAACAUGUACGUCAAAUGAUCAGAUGUGUAUUUGAUCCUAUACUAUUUAUACUUAAUGUCAAUAUACAUACUUGUUAAAUGUCUUAUUACUGGACACAUUGGAGUGUGACGAGCAGAAUUCUCUGCUGCAGAGAGGAGGUUGGGGUGAAUGAAGUGUAUAAUGCGUGGUUUGCAUAGCUGUUGGAAACUUUAAACCUAACCUAAUCUCAACCUAAUCUAAUCUAUUCUAUUGAUUGAAAUGUUGUUGUUUUCUAUCGGCUGUUGUUGCUACUUCUAUUGUUGCUGGUUGUCUUUGUGACUAAAUUAAUGCUUGAUUGACGAACACUUUAUCCAUCUUGGAUUAAUAAAUAUAUUUAAUUAUCAUA
RNAcentral lists this long non-coding RNA (7683 nucleotides) under Salmo salar (Atlantic salmon). Its description in RNAcentral is "lncRNA (ENSSSAG00000083761.1)". Lineage: Eukaryota; Metazoa; Chordata; Actinopteri; Salmoniformes; Salmonidae. The record is from RNAcentral.